RNAcentral lists this ribosomal RNA (460 nucleotides) under uncultured bacterium. Its description in RNAcentral is "partial 16S ribosomal RNA". It matches the Rfam family "Bacterial small subunit ribosomal RNA", at positions 338 to 795 of the family's 1533-position model. The record is from RNAcentral.
CCUACGGGUGGCAGCAGUGAGGAAUAUUGGUCAAUGGGCGCGAGCCUGAACCCUCCCCGUCGCUCGCGUUCUUCCUUCCCUCCUUUUUUUCCCCCUCUUUUUCCUUUGAGCAACGGGCGUCACGUGUGGCGCCACUGAGAGUACCCGGAGAAAAAGCAUCGGCUAACUCCGUGCCAGCAGCCGCGGUAAUACGGAGGAUGCGAGCGUUAUCCGGAUUUAUUGGGUUUAAAGGGUGCGUAGGCGGAUUUUUAAGUCAGCGGUAAAAUGUCCGGGCUCAACCCGGGCCGGCCGUUGAAACUGGGGAUCUUGAGUGGGCGAGAAGUAUGCGGAAUGCGUGGUGUAGCGGUGAAAUGCAUAGAUAUCACGCAGAACUCCGAUUGCGAAGGCAGCAUACCGGCGCCCGACUGACGCUGAGGCACGAAAGCGUGGGGAUCGAACAGGAUUAGAUAAAAGGGUAGUC